AGCGGGAAGAACGGAAAAUGUUUAUAGGAGGCCUUAGCUGGGACACUACAAAGAGAGAUCUGAAGGACUAGUUUUCCAAAUUUGGUGAAGUUGUAGACUGCACUCUGAAGUUAGAUCCUAUCACAGGGUGAUCAAGGGGUUUUGGCUUUGUGCUGUUUAAAGAAUCGGAGAGUGUAAAUAAGGUUAUGGAUCAGAAAGAACAUAAAUUGAAUGGGAAGGUGAUUGAUCCUAAAAGGGCCAAAGCCAUGAAAACAAAAGAGCCGGUUAAAAAAAUUUUUGUUGGUGGCCUUUCUCCAGAUACACCUGAAGAGAAAAUAAGGGAGUACUUUGGUGGUUUUGGUGGGGUGGAAUCCAUAGAGCUCCCCAUGGACAACAAGACCAAUAAGAGGCGUGGCUUCUGCUUUAUUACCUUUAAGGAAGAAGAACCAGUGAAGAAGAUAAUGGAAAAGAAAUACCACAAUGUUGGUCUUAGUAAAUGUGAAAUAAAAGUAGCCAUGUAGAAGGAACAGUAUCAGCAACAGCAACAGUGGGGAUCUGGAGGAGGAUUUGUAGGAAGAGCUCGUGGAAGAGGUGGUGGCCCCAGUCAAAACUGGAACCAGGGAUAUAGUAACUAUUGGAAUCAAGGCUAUGGCAACUAUGGAUAUAACAGCCAAGGUUACGGUGGUUAUGGAGGAUAUGACUACACUGGUUACAACAACUACUAUGGAUAUGGAGAUUAUAGCGACCAGCAGACUGGUUAUGGGAAGGUAUCCAGGCGAGGUGAUCAUCAAAAUAGCUACAAACCAUACUAAAUUAUUCCAUUUGCAACUUAUCCCCAGCAGGUGGUGAAGCAGUAUUUUCCAAUUUGAAGAUUCAUUUGAAGGUGGCUCCUGCCACCUGCUAAUAGCAGUUCAAACUAAAUUUUUUGUAUCAAGUCCCCGAAUGGAAGUAUGACGUUGGGUCCCCCUGAAGUUUAAUUCUGAGUUCUCGUUAAAAGAAAUUUGCUUUCAUUGUUUUAUUUCUUAAUUGCUAUGCUUCAGAAUCAAUUUGUGUUUUAUGCCCUUCCCCCCAGUAUUGUAGAGCAAGUCUUGUGUUAAAAGCCCAGUGUGACAGUGUCAUGAUUUAGUAGUGUCUUACUGGUUUUUUCAUAAAUCCUUUUGUAUUUAAAAAAAAAAAAAGAAAGAAAGAAAGAAAAAAGCAAAAAAGAAAAAAAA
RNA transcript from Sapajus apella (tufted capuchin), 1193 nucleotides. It is a transcript of the gene named heterogeneous nuclear ribonucleoprotein D0-like, with no coding region annotated. NCBI's taxonomy places the organism in Eukaryota, Metazoa, Chordata, Mammalia, Primates, Cebidae. The record is from RefSeq and is a predicted model, not a curated record. The transcript is spliced from 2 exons.